RNAcentral lists this unclassified non-coding RNA (4605 nucleotides) under Megachile rotundata (alfalfa leafcutting bee). RNAcentral's name for it is "uncharacterized LOC100881436, transcript variant X2". Lineage: Eukaryota; Metazoa; Arthropoda; Insecta; Hymenoptera; Megachilidae. The record is from RNAcentral.
UAAAUCAUCAGGGGAAAUGUUCGUUCAAUUACAAAACGAAAGAUAUAUCGCUAAAGUAAGAGGUUUUAGUGCCUAACACACGUUUCCUUCUCUAUGGGGUUUAUGUGUGUAAGGGAAGGGCACCUCGUGUGGUUUCUACGGUCCUGAGACGAAGUAACAGUAUCGUAUGACUAUACGUUAAAUGAAAGGCCCGUUAAAAAUGUUAGUUUUUGGAUUUCGAAUAUUAUAUUAUUUCUCGUAAUAAUUCGUAUCAGAGUCCCCAAACUUUCGUAUCCUGAAAUUCUUAAUUUAACUCCUUAAAUUCUCAAGUAUUCAAACUCUAAAAUUCCCAAAGUCCGAAGUUUUAAAUCCACAAAGAUUCUCCAUAUACAAUCAUGGUAUAUGAUAUUGCCUACUAUUAUUCUAAAAAAAAUACUGAUCAUCCGAGAUUUGAUAGUUUAUAUUUGACACAUGUAUUUCAUUUAAAAAGAUACUUCCAAGAAAAACGGCACUUUCGGAAUAUCGUUCGAAGAUCGAUACUAAUAUUUCGAACGAUUUAAUCGGUUUGUUAUAGUACCGACUGUUAAAGAUUACUGCUGACAAGAUCAGUAACGGUCGGUUUACAUUAACAUGUGUAAUUUUAUUGUCCAGACUAGAAGAACAUUAAAAUGGCCAGGGUUCGGAUAGAGCGAGGUACGGUGCUGCAGUAGUCGAGGUGGGGGGUGGUGCGACGCAUGCGCAGUGAUGUACUCGUGCCCAGCUGUGCACGAACGUGAAAUGCGGCGCGGCUGGCGGUGGUGGCUGCUAGGAAAGCAAGCGAGCGAACGAGCGAGUAAGCGAGCAAGCAAAACAGGCAGAGGCUGCCCUCCUGUCUCCCCCACCCGUAGUAUGCCUCGCAGAGCCCAUGGCCUCCGUACACACGGAGGAGAGUGAGGCAGCCCCAGCCGCUCCUCACGUCAUCCGUUGAGAGAGAGACGACGGGCCUCGACACGGCGAGGAGCAAUAAUUCUAACGAGCCAAGAUGGCGGCGGACACGGUGGCCCUGUCCGCACUCACGCUCGCCAGGGGCGACAAGAUCCUCGUGACCGUCGAGUCCGCGCUACCGGACAUCGUUGUCGUGUCCUUCGUUCACGGUGCCAAGUGCUUCCAGGGCGCGUUGCUUGACGCCACCAAGAGAGGUCUCCCGUGUGGCGUGCAACCCCCGGAACCGGUGCCGGAUCCCGAUGGCGACAAAUUGGCCACGAUCGCAGCCCGUUUCAGCUAUUUCCAAGAGAGAAAGAGUUCGCUCGCCUCUGCGAAAGUUGAUCUUCGUAGGAACAUCAAUCCACCGGCCAGGUACAAGAAUGCACGACCAACGGUCAGGCUCAGGCCACGGCAGGUGUUGUGCAGUAAGUGCAGGUCGAUCUGCAACGAGAACAGCGAGAACGUGGAUGUCAGUAGAAAACGGAAACACGAGGAAGCGCAGUCGGAACAGCAGCAGAAUUCGCAGCAGCCCCAGGUCACGGGUCAUGGAUCCACCAGGAGGAGCGAUCGACGUUGCGGUCAACAGCCUCAGAAAACCUCGAGAGUGUUGUUCUCUCAGUGUCAGUCUGAAAACAUCAAGUCCUCGUCGUCCACCGAGCUGAGCCCCGAUUCGUCGAAGCUUGGACCGUCUCUCAUACCGAAGAUCUCGAGACUACAGCCGAACGAGAUCAACAACGCCAUGCAGGGAACUGAAAAAGUGAAGCUCGGUCAAUCGUACUGGAACAACCGAGCCGACGAGGGAGAUUCGGCGGCUAACGCGAUCGAGCCAACGGAGGAGCGCAUGGAGUCAACGGACUGCGAUAGUAAUCCGUCAAUGGCGUACUGUGCCACGCCCAGAAGACUUAGUAGUUCGUCGGUAGAAAGUGCAAAGGUACCCGAGGAAGAGGAGAAGAAGACGUUCGCGGCAGCGGAUUCGACAAUGAGGCCAAGAGCCGGUCGAGUACCUAGGAAGAAACGAUCCGUUGGAUCGAUGGAGGAUCUGUGGGACGAGACCGUGUUCGAGGACCCGACGAGAACGGCCAGAACCACGCCGGUGAUUAAGAUCUCCUUUGGUGCUCAGGGCGAAGGUACUGUACUGAAGAUACCCUCGAAGAUACAAGAUCCAGAGUACGAACAGGAAACCGACGAUGCCGAGGACGUACAAACGGAGACGGAGAGAGAUCCACUGGAAUUACCGAGGACUUUCGACAACGAUUAUACUUAUCGCGAGGACGCCGAGGAGGAUGGACAAGAACAGGUGGAUCCUCAGAAACAAGGUGUGAAGGAUGCCAGUGCUAAAGCGGCGAAGCGAGCGUUGAAAAAGGCAAAGAAGGAAGCCAGAAGAAAGAUGCUCGGUGGUGUCUCUCCAGCGAGAUCCCCUUGUAACGGAUCUCCACGGUAUAAUCCCACGUACGACUCCUUAUCGUAUCACCGUCGCAAGCAUAAAGUGAAGCAUAAAAAAAAGCACAAGGAAGACCGGAAACAUAAGAACCAGCAGCAUCAGCAGCCCUGUCUGGAGUCCGGCAGCACCGAGAAUCAGCAAAACUGGAAUGUACUGCCGGGUAGCGAAUCGUACACAGCCAUAAAGGAGCAGUGCCUCAAGCAAAAAUUAUCCAUAUCUCUAAAGAGAUUGAACACAAACGCUUAUGCCAGAUGUGAUUACCCUGUGAGCAAUGCCUCUUCCGGUUGUAAGAGUCCUGGUGCCAGCAGCGACGAAUUGAGCGAACAAGAACCCGAGGUGGACGCUGGUGAAACUGCACCUGACUUUCCACCGCAGUCGCAUCCUCUGAUGAUGCGCCUAGCCGCGACACCUGUCGAACAUUGUCUCACCGCUAAUGGCAGAAGAAUGGACGUUGGUGAUGUUGUGUGGGGGAAGAUUCAUGGGUUCCCUUGGUGGCCUGGAAAAGUUCUUAGCAUCACAGUUUCUUGUAAAGAAGACGGCACAUCUUCUGGGCCACAGGCUCACGUUGCCUGGUACGGGUCUUCGACAAGUUCUCUGAUGUCGUGUGAUCAGUUGAGUCCAUUUUUGGAAACGUUCAAGACACGGUACAAUAAGAAGAAACGAGGGCCGUACAAGGAGGCGAUACGACAGGCACAGAACGAAGCUCGAAAUCAGAUCACGCCAAACUCGACGAGCAGCGUGUUAAACGUUUGUGGCUCACCGCGCGAGGUCAACGUUCUUUCCUAAGGGAAGGUGCACGCCACUCGACACCAUUCCUUACUGCCGAGUAUCCGUCGGUCGAGAUAAUUCAAGCGACGGAUCGAAAUCGUCAUGUAAUAUAUUACAAAUUUUGUACAUAAUGACUAGCAUUAAUGAAAUAGCUUUUUGAUCGAUGUUCCGAUCAACGGUCACGCCUGCCGUCGUUCGCGACGAUUCAUGGUGAACAGACUCCGAAUGAAGUUUACUGCCAUCACUGGCAAUGUCCUUUCUUUCAUUUUCUUUUUUUAUUCUUAGCUUUUUUUCGAGCGAACAUUUAGCAGAUAAGAAGUAUCUAGAUAGGGUGUAACGUAGAGAUAAUAACGUCGUCUCUCGAGAAUAAUUUCGUACUAAAAUGAAAAAAAAAGUAUGCGACUUCUACGAUAGGUACACACAUACACAUACAUACACACACACAGACACGGGUGUCGUCGUGUUUCAUUAGUUAGCGAUACUCGUUACUUAAAUUCUUUCUUGUAUACGUAUAUGUAUGUAUACAUAUAUAUGUAUAUUUGUAUUAACGAUUUCAUUGUGAUCAUUAUCGGAAAAAUCGUACGUACUAUGAUCCAGUGUGGGCAGUGAAUCUUCGAUACAGUCCGUAGACGUUGCUGAAUAGAACACGAUCGAUGAAUUACUCGAUCUGUCGUGGUAUCAUGACGGAAUCAAGAACGUGGACAAUACCUUUGACAAAGUGAAGUUACCCACGAUACUUUAACUACUUCUUUGCACGAAGAAUUGCUAAAUACCAGUGAGGUUUUUAUCGAAAGAAUGGAACUCAAUCACAGCGAAGCAAUCUACACGCGAUGAAUCAUACAGAUUGAAAUCAGAAAGAAUCAGAAUUAUUGCGUCCAGUGCACGUGUACACUCGAUAUUGAUACCACCUAGGGAAAUCAUCGUGGACAAACAUCUUUAUGAAGCUUCUAAAAUUCGUGGACACAGUGACAUUUAGGUCCACGGACAAACUAAUCUCCGACAAACCUAUCAACCCCGAAGACAACCCAUCCUUCGCCUAAUUAACCCCGCUUCGCUGGCGCGAUUAACGAGGUAGCAAACGAAGUAGGCAGCCUGGACAUCUACAGGGUGCGGAUCGUUGAUAAAGAAAGAAUUAACAGAUACGGCAAUUUUCAAUAAGGCUUAGACGGCGAGGAUUAGCGAUUCACCCCGUAUAUUUGCACGGGGUGAAAAGGAGUACCCGAGGAGUCUGUAGAGCAAGAACCGAAGAGGGUGGAAUCGUCGUAGUGCGCGUGUCCAAAGGCGAUGGUCGCAGGCAACCGCCGCAAAGUCUCAACCCUGUUCCGGGGUCGGAUGCAGCCCUGAGUCGGUGCUAGUCGCGCCCGCGCCCGCGCCGUGAACACCGUCGUCCAUCGGUCCUCUGCCAGCGUAGCUGACACCCGGGAAAAUGAAGCAGGUGCGUCCACCUCGAAGAA